This 491-nucleotide ribosomal RNA is filed under the name uncultured bacterium. RNAcentral's name for it is "partial 16S ribosomal RNA". It matches the Rfam family "Bacterial small subunit ribosomal RNA", at positions 29 to 507 of the family's 1533-position model. The record is from RNAcentral.
GUGAACGCUGGCGGUAGGCCUAACCCAUGCAAGUCGAACGGCAGCACAGUAAGAGCUUGCUCUUACGGGUGGCGAGUGGCGGACGGGUGAGGAAUACAUCGGAAUCUACUUUUUCGUGGGGGAUAACGUAGGGAAACUUACGCUAAUACCGCAUACGACCUACGGGUGAAAGCAGGGGAUCUUCGGACCUUGCGCGAUUGAAUGAGCCGAUGUCGGAUUAGCUAGUUGGCGGGGUAAAGGCCCACCAAGGCGACGAUCCGUAGCUGGUCUGAGAGGAUGAUCAGCCACACUGGAACUGAGACACGGUCCAGACUCCUACGGGGGGCAGCAGUGGGGAAUAUUGGACAAUGGGCGCAAGCCUGAUCCAGCCAUACCGCGUGGGUGAAGAAGGCCUUCGGGUUGUAAAGCCCUUUUGUUGGGAAAGAAAAGCAGCAGGUUAAUACCCCGCUGUUCUGACGGUACCCAAAGAAUAAGCACCGGCUAACUUCGUG